RNAcentral lists this microRNA precursor (102 nucleotides) under Marmota monax (woodchuck). Lineage: Eukaryota; Metazoa; Chordata; Mammalia; Rodentia; Sciuridae. The record is from RNAcentral.
AGUAUGAUAACUGGAUCAAAUGGUGGUUCCAUUCCAAGUUUUUGAGCAGUCUCCAUGCUGCUUUCCAUAGUGGUUGCACCAAUUUGCAAUCCCACUAGCAAU